Molecule: ribosomal RNA, 563 nt
Filed under: Micromonospora sp. 415C01
Lineage: Bacteria; Bacillati; Actinomycetota; Actinomycetes; Micromonosporales; Micromonosporaceae
Description: bacterial SSU rRNA
Rfam family: Bacterial small subunit ribosomal RNA
Source: RNAcentral
AGCGGCGAACGGGUGAGUAACACGUGAGCAACCUGCCCUAGGCUUUGGGAUAACCCCGGGAAACCGGGGCUAAUACCGAAUAGGACCUGACAUCGCAUGGUGUUGGGUGGAAAGUUUUUCGGCCUGGGAUGGGCUCGCGGCCUAUCAGCUUGUUGGUGGGGUGAUGGCCUACCAAGGCGACGACGGGUAGCCGGCCUGAGAGGGCGACCGGCCACACUGGGACUGAGACACGGCCCAGACUCCUACGGGAGGCAGCAGUGGGGAAUAUUGCACAAUGGGCGGAAGCCUGAUGCAGCGACGCCGCGUGAGGGAUGACGGCCUUCGGGUUGUAAACCUCUUUCAGCAGGGACGAAGCGCAAGUGACGGUACCUGCAGAAGAAGCGCCGGCCAACUACGUGCCAGCAGCCGCGGUAAGACGUAGGGCGCGAGCGUUGUCCGGAUUUAUUGGGCGUAAAGAGCUCGUAGGCGGCUUGUCGCGUCGACUGUGAAAACCCGCAGCUCAACUGCGGGGCCUGCAGUCGAUACGGGCAGGCUAGAGUUCGGUAGGGGAGACUGGAAUUCCU